GGUGAGAUGGCCGAGCGGUCUAAGGCGCCAGACUAAGGAGACCCGGGUAGUUGUACCCACAUGAUCUGGUCCGAAAGGGCGUGGGUUCGAAUCCCACUCUCAUCA
Molecule: non-coding RNA, 105 nt
Organism: Mucidula mucida
Lineage: Eukaryota; Fungi; Basidiomycota; Agaricomycetes; Agaricales; Physalacriaceae
Source: the annotation of a GenBank genome assembly